RNAcentral lists this ribosomal RNA (467 nucleotides) under uncultured bacterium. RNAcentral's name for it is "partial 16S ribosomal RNA". It matches the Rfam family "Bacterial small subunit ribosomal RNA", at positions 28 to 507 of the family's 1533-position model. The record is from RNAcentral.
GACGAACGCUGGCGGCGUGCUUAACACAUGCAAGUCGAACGGAAAGGCCCUGCUUUUGUGGGGUGCUCGAGUGGCGAACGGGUGAGUAACACGUGAGUAACCUGCCCUUGACUUUGGGAUACUUCUGGAAACCUGGGCUAAUACCGGGAUAGAACUCCUUCUUCAUUGGGGGGGUUGGAAAGUUUCGGCGGUUGGGGAUGGACUCGCGGCUUAUCAGCUUGUUGGUGGGGUAGUGGCUUACCAAGGCGUUGACGGGUAGCCGGCCUGAGAGGGUGAACGGCCACAUUGGGACUGAGAUACGGCCCAGACUCCUACGGGAGGCAGCAGUGGGGAAUAUUGCACAAUGGGCGGAAGCCUGUUGCAGCAACGCCGCGUGCGGGAUGACGGCCUUCGGGUUGUAAACCGCUUUCGCCUGGGACGAAGCGUGAGUGACGGUAAUGGGUGAAGAAGCACCGGCUAACUACGUG